RNAcentral lists this unclassified non-coding RNA (336 nucleotides) under soil metagenome. RNAcentral's name for it is "partial contains 5.8S ribosomal RNA, internal transcribed spacer 2, and large subunit ribosomal RNA". The stretch from base 1 to 120 matches the Rfam family "5.8S ribosomal RNA", at positions 35 to 154 of the family's 154-position model. The record is from RNAcentral.
GAUGAAGAACGUAGCGAAAUGCGAUAAGUAAUGUGAAUUGCAGAAUUCAGUGAAUCAUCGAACCUUUGAACGCACAUUGCGCCCGCCAGUAUUCUGGCGGGCAUGCCUGUUCGAGCGUCAUUUCAACCAUCAAGCCCCAGGCUUGUGUUGGGGACCUGCGGCUGCCGCAGGCCCUGAAAACCAGUGGCGGGCUCGCUGUCACACCGGGCGUAGUAGAUUUUAUCUCGCUCAGGGCGUGCUGCGGGUUCCGGCCGUUAAAAAGCCUUUUUUACCCAAGGUUGACCUCGGAUCAGGUAGGAAGACCCGCUGAACUUAAGCAUAUCAAUAAGCGGAGGA